This 89-nucleotide unclassified non-coding RNA is filed under the name Pseudomonas brenneri. Lineage: Bacteria; Pseudomonadati; Pseudomonadota; Gammaproteobacteria; Pseudomonadales; Pseudomonadaceae. The record is from RNAcentral.
UGUGGGAGCGGGCUUGCUCGCGAAUGCGGUCUGUCAGCCAGUUCAUGAGUGGCUGAUCCACCGCUAUCGCGAGCAAGCCCGCUCCCACA